RNAcentral lists this ribosomal RNA (355 nucleotides) under uncultured bacterium. RNAcentral's name for it is "bacterial SSU rRNA". It matches the Rfam family "Bacterial small subunit ribosomal RNA", at positions 152 to 507 of the family's 1533-position model. The record is from RNAcentral.
GGAAACGAUCGCUAAUACCGGAUAGGACGAAGUUUUAAAAGGUGCUUCUGGGCACCGCUGAUGGAUGAGCCUGCGGCGCAUUAGCUAGUUGGUAGGGUAAAGGCCUACCAAGGCGACGAUGCGUAGCCGACCUGAGAGGGUGAACGGCCACACUGGGACUGAGACACGGCCCAGACUCCUACGGGAGGCAGCAGUAGGGAAUCUUCGGCAAUGGGCGAAAGCCUGACCGAGCAACGCCGCGUGAAUGAUUGAAGGCCUUCGGGUUGUAAAACUCUGUUAUAAGGGAAGAACGACUUUAGUAGGAAAUGGCUAGAGUGUGACGGUACCUUAUGAGAAAGCCACGGCUAACUACGUG